RNAcentral lists this ribosomal RNA (253 nucleotides) under uncultured bacterium. Its description in RNAcentral is "partial 16S ribosomal RNA". It matches the Rfam family "Bacterial small subunit ribosomal RNA", at positions 524 to 776 of the family's 1533-position model. The record is from RNAcentral.
UACGAAGGGUGCAAGCGUUACUCGGAAUUACUGGGCGUAAAGCGUGCGUAGGCGGUUUGUUAAGUCUGUUGUGAAAGCCCCGGGCUCAACCUGGGAAUGGCAAUGGAAACUGGCGAGCUAGAGUACGGUAGAGGAGAGUGGAAUUCCCGGUGUAGCGGUGAAAUGCGCAGAUAUCGGGAGGAACACCGAUGGCGAAGGCAGCUCGCUGGGACGGUACUGACGCUGAGGCGCGAAAGCGUGGGGAGCAAACAGG